AGUCCUCCUCUGCUCUGGCAGAUAAAAGAAGAAUAGGCAAAGCAGCUAAGGAUCUCUCUGGAGCAUCAGAGGAAGGAGGCAAAGAACCACGAAGAGGAGUUGCAUAAAGACGCCUCAGAAAAGGUGAACGAAGCAAUAGAGGAGGAGAGGAGGAAGUGUGAGACAGAAAAAGUGGAGGCUAUGCAGGAGCACUGUGGGACACUGGAGGAGCAGAACAAAUAUGUGCAGCGAGAGAAGAGUAGAGCACAAGCUUUACAACAUAAAGUGUUGGAACUAAAAACAAGGAUGCAGGAGUUGGAGAGUGAACGUUGUGCACAGGAGAGAGAGCAUCAGUCUUUUCUGGCUGUUAUUUGUGGAUCACUGAAAGAGGAGCUCCAGGCUGAGCUGCAGAGGUUGAAGAAACAUAUGACACAGAAAGGAAGGAAACCACAAAAUUUAAUCAAUUGUAGGCAAAUAAAAGGAGACACUGUCAUAAAAAGGGUUAUCAUUGAGUGGUCUGUGGUCACAGGAGAACCAGAGGACGGCGCUGCAGCUUGACAAGGCUGUUCAGCUGGCAAAGAAAGAGGCUGACAGGCUCCGGGUGACGCUGGAAGAAAGGGAGCGAGGUUACAACAGAAUCACUGUUGAGCUGGACCAGCAGCACAGACACUGGGCCCAGGAGAAUUGGGGUUGAGCGAGAUAGAGCCUUAGACUCUGUGAAGGAGCGCCUCAUUCAGGAGCCCAUUGAGGAGUUGAGCAGCCUGAACAGGACUCAGCUGACUGGUGGAGGAGCUGAAGAAGGAGGAGCAGAUGGAUCUCUGUGCAAGCAGUUGAAGGCCAAAGACAUGGAGCUCAGGCAGGUGCAG
Molecule: long non-coding RNA, 845 nt
Organism: Pleuronectes platessa (European plaice)
Lineage: Eukaryota; Metazoa; Chordata; Actinopteri; Pleuronectiformes; Pleuronectidae
Exons: 4
Source: RefSeq, a predicted model, not a curated record